RNAcentral lists this ribosomal RNA (253 nucleotides) under uncultured bacterium. RNAcentral's name for it is "partial 16S ribosomal RNA". It matches the Rfam family "Bacterial small subunit ribosomal RNA", at positions 524 to 776 of the family's 1533-position model. The record is from RNAcentral.
UAUAGAGGGGGCAAGCGUUGUUCGGAAUUACUGGGCGUAAAGGGCGCGUAGGCGGCCUUCUAAGUCGAACGUGAAAUCCCCGGGCUCAACCCGGGAACUGCGUCCGAUACUGGAAGGCUUGAAUUCGGGAGAGGGAUGCGGAAUUCCAGGUGUAGCGGUGAAAUGCGUAGAUAUCUGGAGGAACACCGGUGGCGAAGGCGGCAUCCUGGACCGGCAUUGACGCUGAGGCGCGAAAGCCAGGGGAGCAAACGGG